Long non-coding RNA from Ruditapes philippinarum (Manila clam), 4701 nucleotides. RefSeq lists it as uncharacterized. The record is from RefSeq and is a predicted model, not a curated record. The transcript is spliced from 4 exons. Lineage: Eukaryota; Metazoa; Mollusca; Bivalvia; Venerida; Veneridae.
AGAUUGACUGUGAAGCAAUAAAUGUUAUGUCGGACGAGGAAUAAGCGAAGUAUGUUCCAGCAUAUGGUGAUCGAGUGGCCUUGUUUGCGUUUGCAAGAUGUUUGAAAAGUAAAGAGGAAACCACCGACCAAUGUCUUGCAUCCCAUCUGCGUAAAAAUAUCUUUAGACCUAAAGGGAAAAGAGGUCGCAAUAACGGCAACCAAAGCGCUCGCCGACGUCAAAGGCGCAUUGAUAUGGGAUGGAUGCACUUCAAUAUUUCGCAGAACUGUUUCCGCCAAGUUAGGUCCGUAAAAUGGUGGAGGGACAAGGGGCCUUAGUUUGGACAGGCAUAUGACAGUAAAUGAUUUAAAAGUUGCGACACUCGCCAAGUUCUUUCCAAAUUCUGUAUCCAAAUUUGGUGCCUUAGAAAAUUGUAACGCGGAAAUCCGUGACUUUAAAGGAGAAAACGUAUCUUCAGACACCACAAUUGAAGAUUUGUAUCAAACAAGUAAGUUAAAAACAUUGAAAGCCUACUUGUACUCGUAAAAGAAAAAAGGCAAUCCAAAACUACAACCGUUCAAAACCACGAAACUUCACAAACAGACAGAGAAAGUGAUGCCGAUAAAACUACUGUACCAAUAGAAGAUGCAGAUGACUGGUUGAGUUCUGGUACUCCAGAGGUCACAUUCCAUCGAAGACUAUCGAGAAACCAUAACUCUUCAGGACCAAGUUCGAGAACGAGUUCAAGCUCUUGGAGAGAACGGGUACAUGCACCAUUUAUCGAUAUAACUGAUAGUACUAGCGACGACGAAGAUCCACUAUUGCGGCAUGCAAUUGAAACAAGUCUGGCGGAAACAUCUGGACCCCCACAAGACUGAGAUUUCUAUAAUUUAGAUUUAACAUCAUUGUAUAAAUAUAGUGCGUGAGUGUUUCCAUAGAGAGAGUAUGUUUACCGCGUCAGCUUUUUCUUUAUGAUAACAUCUAAUCGUGACGUUGGAAUGUUUAUCUAAACAAAACAUUUAACAUGAAUUGUGCAAAUAUAUUAGUGUUUCCCGUAGCCAUGUACGAUGUUUGAUUUAACACGGACUAUUUUUGUUGCGAAAUUUUCAUUUAUUUAUAGUAUUAUACUACCACCAGUAUGUAAUGCCCUAUAGGGUAAUAGUUAAUUAUCACAUCAUGUGAAAUGUACAAUACUGUGAUUUAUACAGGUUAUAUUUCUCAGACAAAAUUAGGCGUUUUACUAAUGUACAUUACAGAAAAGUUCGUUAUACUUCUUUUUGCUGAUUCGUAUCGAUAAUUUAUUAGGUAAGAAAUUCACAAGCCGCGGAAGCCCACUCGUUAAGGUUGUUUCUGUCACGUUGUAUACGUGCAUCUGAUGCAUGCUUAAAUACAGCAUGAUCAAGUGGCGUCGUGGUCGAGUGGUUGACGCGUAGGUCUAGUAAUCUAAGGAUUGCUGACCGCGUAGGUUCAAACCCUGUCAGGAGCAAUCCGUUGUUUCUUUGAGCAAGAAACUUUACAUUCAUUGCUUAGUAUUGGUUGGUUCCAGGAACGGAUUCGAGAGUGUUGCAAUAAGCUUCAAACACAAUCGAACGAAAAUAAAUUUGUUUAAAACAAAUACAGCAAACCAUGUACAUGUACAUAAUUAGUCUAACUAAUGUCAUACCAUUUACGGUAUGUUUGAAUAAAGGUUAAAUGUUGAAUAUGGUUUACAGAAUGUUAAGAAAAGACACAGAGGAAAUACUUCAUGAGCUGAUUGGCGCAGUUGAUUGUACCAAGAUUUUUUUUUAUAAACGUUACAAGACAUAAUGUCUUUGAAGGCGUAAUGCGUGGAUUUCAAAGAAAAACAUUUGAUCCACUGGUUGAACUGCAUGUCAAAUUGGCGCCAAGGAUGGUAUAGACGAUGGGGGCCUAACAAGGGAAUGCAUGCGUUUAUUAAAAAAGGAGAUCUGCGAGCAUCAGAUAUUCUGUGGAAAUGACAACUUGAGGCAGUUUGUCCUAAACGCUACAGGUUUGGACUUUAUAUCGUUUUAGCCAAUGCAAUAUAUCUUUUUCAUAUAUCCAAGCCUUGAUUUUGUGAAGUAAAAUCGAUGUUCUUUUUAGCUCAUCUGUCACAAAGUGACAAGGUGAGUUUUUGUGGCCACAAUUCUUCCGUUGUCCGUAAACUUUUACUUUAAACGUCAUCUCCUCAUAAACCGCUAAGCCAAUUUCAUGUUAUUUGGUGGUCACCUUUGAAAAAUUUUCAAAGAAUUUAAUUCCAUGCAGAACUCUGGUUGCCAUGGUAACUGAAAGAAAAUAUUUCUUUUAAAAAACGGUUUUUCGUCUUUUUUGUAACCAAAUUGAAAGCACGGACUCAUGGUUUUUACCCUGCUUUGACGUUAGACUAAAGAGUGUGAGCUAAAAAUAUAAGUAUAGAUAUGGUCACACUCGUGAGAUCCUGAUCGGAGCCAAAUCAAUGUUUAAGUAGUAAAAAAUACUAUUUUUGGUGUGUAAGACUGAAUAAUAUGGUGGUAAGCAUUGGUUAUGUAGCAAUCCUGAUAUUUAUGAUAUAUAUAUUGCGCGUGCCUAUUUUCGCCUAUUUUUCGUGUGAUUUUCUGUAUCUAUAUAUAGAGAGAAAGGUCAAAUAAUAGUCCGAUACUCUUGUUCAAAUGUAAUUCAAACAUAAAUAAUACUUGAAAUCAUAACGCAAAAUCCAGAAGAAGCGGGAUUUAAAUCCUCGUAUGCAUUGCCCAAACGCGUACAUAUUUGUAAGUGCAUUUCAGUAACCCAUCUAAGGUUUUUGCCCUCUUGAGGAAUAGUUGUCCAAUGAGUUACCUAUUUAUAUGUAAAAUGAUUAAAAUCUGGACGUCGUGUAUUGAUAAGUGUUCAUAUUAAGUAUCAUUUACAAAAAUGAAUUGGUCAAAACGACAUUUAGUGAAUGUUAACUAAUCACGUGCACGGGGGUGAACUUCAUAUGGAUCUCAAAAUAGAGUUUCAGUAGAACGAAUGGGCAAUAUAACACUAUAUGUGAAAAUCGCAGGGUAAAUUUUUAACUUUUUUAACAUUUAUAUAAAAUUCAAAGCUGUCUUUUUUUAAAUUUUAUCCCCCAUCAUACUCAUUAUUGUACCAGAUUUUUAUGCAGUGUUUGUCGAAAUAUUGUUCCAUCCCGGGUUCUGGUGUGUCCAAGACAUGCAAUACAUACAAAAACGGACUCGAAAUCUUACCACCGAACGAUGCUAAACAUUCAAACAACCCUUGAAACAUUUACAAGAUUUGGAUUGGGAAUAUUGGUCGAAAUUUAAUUCCAGCUGAAAAGAUACAUAUGUGAUCUAGAAAACCAUCUACAAAAUUACGAAUCACUUUUAUAAAAGAGCAAUCUAAAGGAACAAGUAAGGUUUCGUUGAUUUUGGCUGAAAGCCCAUUAGUCCAUAUGCUUGGUAAUUAAAUAUCGCUUCAUCAAUAUGCUAACUAUCUGAUGCUAGCAAAAGAAAUACAAAAAAUAUCGACUAUGUAAAAAUGUGGACUCAGAGCGAACACUACUCGCACAAAAUAUAAUUUCCCUACUGAGGGGAAACGUAUCUUAGACAAGCUUAACUAAUAUUUUAAACAGUUGACAAAUGAAAGUGAUUAAUCUUUGUAAAGCUAUCAUGCCUUAUUUUUUUCCAUUCAUAAUUUAAAUUCAUAAAGAUAAACAUCACUUUAAGAUUACAAACGUAUAUUUAAUAGAUUUUCACUCAAUUGGACAAAUAAUUUCUUAUUGACUGUCAUGCAGUGAAUCGCAAGUAAACUUCUUCAUACAGACUGUCCCCAAAUAUUCUUCUCUCGUGUAGGGUAAACAAAGCGAAAGAUGAGAAUUUGUAUGAAAAUGGUCAAUGAAGAGUCGUGAACUUCAAUCUACUUAUAAUUUUGACAGCAACUGUAAUUUAACAUAGUCAUAAGUAUUUAAAUCAACACAUAAUCAACGUAUCGAUAAGAUAUACUUUUUUGUAGUGAUUUAUAUAUACGUAUCGACAUGGGUGAUCUGAAUAGAAGUAACGUGUUAUACUAGUCGAUAUAAAAUCAGAUAUAAAAUCUAAAUCUUAAACUUAUAUCUAAGCUCUAGCUAAAUGGGUUUUUAAAACAAGAUUUUUAAGUUUUUCCUAUAUACAUAUAAGGAAAAUCAAUGAUCCCCCAGGGCGGGGCCAAUUUUGACCCCAGGGCUUUCAUUUGAACAAACUUGGUACAAUAAUUUUAUUAUUUCAUUCUAUUAUUUAUUCCUUUUUCUCAAAAUUUGAUACUUAGAGCACUUAAUUCAAAAGCUAUAAAUAACUUUAAAUGGAACAUUAUUGACUUUUGAAACUUAUACUUUAUACAUUUAUAUUUAAAUAACUUCAUUUAAUCACUCUUAGUAUCAUAAUUUUAUUAUAAUGCUUAUCUAUAUUUCUAAUAUUUUUAUAUAUUUUUUCUCCAUUAAAAGUUCAUUUGAUUUAUUUAUAUUCACAUAUAAAACAUUUGUUAAAAUUAGUUCAUGAAAAUUAGUUCCUGAAAUUUACGUUAAACUGAAAUUGAUAAUUAUUUGAUAUCACACAAUUUUAUUCAAAUAGUAUAAACUUAUUUCUGACUAACUUCAGGGAAGGGCCCACGAUAAUGUUGUUAGAACUUUUGGCCCAUCCCUUUUGUAUGUACACUUGAUAUUGUCUGUAAAAUUAUGAAAUUGUAUAUUGUGUGUAUAUUUAUACAAUAAAAUAUUAUUAAACUAAGAAGAUG